RNAcentral lists this ribosomal RNA (1090 nucleotides) under Vibrio sp. 7327M. RNAcentral describes it as "bacterial SSU rRNA". It matches the Rfam family "Bacterial small subunit ribosomal RNA", at positions 401 to 1487 of the family's 1533-position model. The record is from RNAcentral. Lineage: Bacteria; Pseudomonadati; Pseudomonadota; Gammaproteobacteria; Vibrionales; Vibrionaceae.
GUGUGAAGAAGGCCUUCGGGUUGUAAAGCACUUUCAGUCGUGAGGAAGGUGGUGUAGUUAAUAGCUGCAUUAUUUGACGUUAGCGACAGAAGAAGCACCGGCUAACUCCGUGCCAGCAGCCGCGGUAAUACGGAGGGUGCGAGCGUUAAUCGGAAUUACUGGGCGUAAAGCGCAUGCAGGUGGUUUGUUAAGUCAGAUGUGAAAGCCCGGGGCUCAACCUCGGAAUAGCAUUUGAAACUGGCAGACUAGAGUACUGUAGAGGGGGGUAGAAUUUCAGGUGUAGCGGUGAAAUGCGUAGAGAUCUGAAGGAAUACCGGUGGCGAAGGCGGCCCCCUGGACAGAUACUGACACUCAGAUGCGAAAGCGUGGGGAGCAAACAGGAUUAGAUACCCUGGUAGUCCACGCCGUAAACGAUGUCUACUUGGAGGUUGUGGCCUUGAGCCGUGGCUUUCGGAGCUAACGCGUUAAGUAGACCGCCUGGGGAGUACGGUCGCAAGAUUAAAACUCAAAUGAAUUGACGGGGGCCCGCACAAGCGGUGGAGCAUGUGGUUUAAUUCGAUGCAACGCGAAGAACCUUACCUACUCUUGACAUCCAGAGAACUUUCCAGAGAUGGAUUGGUGCCUUCGGGAACUCUGAGACAGGUGCUGCAUGGCUGUCGUCAGCUCGUGUUGUGAAAUGUUGGGUUAAGUCCCGCAACGAGCGCAACCCUUAUCCUUGUUUGCCAGCGAGUAAUGUCGGGAACUCCAGGGAGACUGCCGGUGAUAAACCGGAGGAAGGUGGGGACGACGUCAAGUCAUCAUGGCCCUUACGAGUAGGGCUACACACGUGCUACAAUGGCGCAUACAGAGGGCGGCCAACUUGCGANAGUGAGCGAAUCCCAAAAAGUGCGUCGUAGUCCGGAUUGGAGUCUGCAACUCGACUCCAUGAAGUCGGAAUCGCUAGUAAUCGUGGAUCAGAAUGCCACGGUGAAUACGUUCCCGGGCCUUGUACACACCGCCCGUCACACCAUGGGGAGUGGGCUGCAAAAGAAGUAGGUAGUUUAACCUUCGGGGGGACGCUUACCACUUUGGGGUCAUGAUGGGUGACGUC